UACGGAGGGUGCAAGCGUUAUCCGGAUUCACUGGGUUUAAAGGGUAGCGUAGGUGGGCAGUUAAGGUCAGUGGUGAAAUCUCCGGGCUCAACCCGGGAAACUGCCAUUGAUACUAUCGUCUUGAAUAUCGUGGAGGUAAGCGGAAUAGUGUCAUGUAGCGGUGAAAUGCUUAGAUAUGACAUAGAACACCAAUUGCGAAGGCAGCUUACUACCCGAAUAUUGACUCUGAGGCACGAAAAGCGUGGGGGAUCAAACAGG
RNAcentral lists this ribosomal RNA (258 nucleotides) under uncultured bacterium. RNAcentral's name for it is "partial 16S ribosomal RNA". It matches the Rfam family "Bacterial small subunit ribosomal RNA", at positions 524 to 776 of the family's 1533-position model. The record is from RNAcentral.